Molecule: ribosomal RNA, 430 nt
Filed under: Prasinococcus capsulatus
Lineage: Eukaryota; Viridiplantae; Prasinodermophyta; Palmophyllophyceae; Prasinococcales; Prasinococcaceae
Description: partial Bacterial small subunit ribosomal RNA
Rfam family: Bacterial small subunit ribosomal RNA
Source: RNAcentral
AAGUCCCGCAACGAGCGCAACCCUUGUUUUUAAUUAUUUCUUAAAAAGACCGCUAGUUAUAAGCUGGAGGAAGGUAAGGAUGACGUCAAGUCAGCAUGCCCCUUACACUCUGGGCUACUCACGUGCUACAAUGGAAGAGACAAAGAGCCUUUUGCUACCUCGCGAGAGCAAGCUUAAUCUCAAAAACUCUUUCUUAGUUCGGAUUGCAGGCUGCAACUCGCCUGUAUGAAGCUGGAAUCGCUAGUAAUCGCAAAUCAGCUAUGUUGCGGUGAAUACGUUCCCGGGUCUUGUACACACCGCCCGUCACACCAUGGAAGUAGGAUUUACCCGAAAUCAUUAUUUUAACCGUUUGGAAAAAGGUGCUUAAGGUAAGUUUUGUAACUGUGGUGAAGUCGUAACAAGGUAAUCCUACUGGAAGGUGGGGUUGGAU